Molecule: ribosomal RNA, 506 nt
Filed under: uncultured bacterium
Lineage: Bacteria
Description: partial 16S ribosomal RNA
Rfam family: Bacterial small subunit ribosomal RNA
Source: RNAcentral
AUUGAACGCUGGCGGCAGGCCUAACACAUGCAAGUCGGACGGUAGCACAGAGGAGCUUGCUCCUCGGGUGAUGAGUGGCGGACGGGUGAGUAAUGUCUGGGAAACUGCCCGAUGGAGGGGGAUAACUACUGGAAACGGUAGCUAAUACCGCAUAACGUCGCAAGACCAAAGUGGGGGACCCUCGGGCCUCACACCAUCGGAUGUGCCCAGAUGGGAUUAGCUAGUAGGUGGGGUAAUGGCUCACCUAGGCGACGAUCCCUAGCUGGUCUGAGAGGAUGACCAGCAACACUGGAACUGAGACACGGUCCAGACUCCCACGGGAGGCAGCAGUGGGGAAUAUAGCACAAUGGGCGCAAGCCUGAUGCAGCCAUGCCGCGUGUAUGAAGAAGGCCUUCGGGUUGUAAAGUACUUUCAGCGGGGAGGAAGGCGGUGAGGUUAAUAACCUCGCCGAUUGACGUUACCCGCAGAAGAAGCACCGGUUAACUCCGUGCCAGCCGCCGCGGUAA